UUCCUAUCACGUCUCCAAUAGCUAGACGUACGGCAAGACUCUCCCUCUCCCUCCCUCCCUCUCGCUCGCUCGCUCAAAGCUAGUUCUUAGCAAUACUUUGUUGCUAUCACGACUGCAGAAUCAAGCAAGAUCAUUCAAUCGAAAUCAUUCUCUUCGUCUCUAUCAGAUUUGUUUGAACAGAGAGCUAAGGACACUUUCUAUCUAGUGAAUGGGAGGCUACUAGAAUUGAAGCAUUGCACUGGAUUUUCAACCUCUUCUGAACAGACAUCGUACUGAGGGCUGAAGGAAGCACCAUCAAAGGAAAGCACUUUCACUUGGACAAAUAAUCAGGAUCCAGGUACUAAGAUAUGCGCCAAAUUAGAUAGAGUACUUUAUAAUUCUGUUUUUUA
Long non-coding RNA from Rosa rugosa (rugosa rose), 389 nucleotides. RefSeq lists it as uncharacterized. The transcript has 3 exons. The record is from RefSeq and is a predicted model, not a curated record. Lineage: Eukaryota; Viridiplantae; Streptophyta; Magnoliopsida; Rosales; Rosaceae.